This 406-nucleotide ribosomal RNA is filed under the name Bacillus cereus. RNAcentral describes it as "bacterial SSU rRNA". It matches the Rfam family "Bacterial small subunit ribosomal RNA", at positions 1 to 394 of the family's 1533-position model. The record is from RNAcentral. Lineage: Bacteria; Bacillati; Bacillota; Bacilli; Caryophanales; Bacillaceae.
UUUAUUGGAGAGUUUGAUCCUGGCUCAGGAUGAACGCUGGCGGCGUGCCUAAUACAUGCAAGUCGAGCGAAUGGAUUGAGAGCUUGCUCUCAAGAAGUUAGCGGCGGACGGGUGAGUAACACGUGGGUAACCUGCCCAUAAGACUGGGAUAACUCCGGGAAACCGGGGCUAAUACCGGAUAACAUUUUGAACCGCAUGGUUCGAAAUUGAAAGGCGGCUUCGGCUGUCACUUAUGGAUGGACCCGCGUCGCAUUAGCUAGUUGGUGAGGUAACGGCUCACCAAGGCAACGAUGCGUAGCCGACCUGAGAGGGUGAUCGGCCACACUGGGACUGAGACACGGCCCAGACUCCUACGGGAGGCAGCAGUAGGGAAUCUUCCGCAAUGGACGAAAGUCUGACGGAGCAA